This 284-nucleotide ribosomal RNA is filed under the name uncultured bacterium. Its description in RNAcentral is "partial 16S ribosomal RNA". It matches the Rfam family "Bacterial small subunit ribosomal RNA", at positions 773 to 1060 of the family's 1533-position model. The record is from RNAcentral.
GUGGAUUAGAUACCCUGGUAGUCCACGCUGUAAACGAUGAAUACUAGGUGUUGGGUCGCAAGAUUCAGUGCCGCAGCAAACGCAUUAAGUAUUCCACCUGGGGAGUACGAUCGCAAGGUUGAAACUCAAAGGAAUUGACGGGGGCCCGCACAAGCAGUGGAGCAUGUGGUUUAAUUCGAUGCAACGCGAAGAACCUUACCUAGGCUUGAAAGGCAGAUGACAGGGUAUGAAAGUACCCCUCCCGCAAGGGCAUCUGUACAGGUGCUGCACGGUUGUCGCCAACU